AAUAGAUACCCCGGUAGUCCACGCCGUAAACGAUGGAUGCUAGCUAUUGGGGGGAAUCGACCCCCUCCGAAGCGAAGCUAACGCGUUAAGCAUCCCGCCUGAGUAGUACGAGCGCAAGCUUAAAACUCAAAGGAAUUGACGGGGACCCGCACAAGCGGUGGAGCGUGUGGUUUAAUUCGAUGGUAAACGAAGAACCUUACCAAGGUUUGACAUCCCGGUAGCCGUUCUCCGAAAGGAGAAUUUCAUUUAGUUGGACCGGUGACAGGUGAUGCAUGGCCGUCGUCAGCUCGUGUCGUGAGAUGUUGGGUUAAGUCCCGCAACGAGCGCAACCCUUAUGAUUUAGUUGGAUUUUUCUAAACAGACUGCCCUGGUAACAGGGAGGAAGGAGGGGAUGAUGUCAGGUCAGUAUUUCCCUUACACCUUGGGGCGACACACGCGCUACAAUGGCCGGUACAAUGGGCAGCUAAGCCGCGAGGCGGAGCAAAUCCCAUCAAAGCCGGUCCCAGUUCGGAUUGCAGGCUGAAACCCGCUGCAUGAAGCCGGAAUCGCUAGUAACC
RNAcentral lists this ribosomal RNA (557 nucleotides) under uncultured bacterium. RNAcentral's name for it is "bacterial SSU rRNA". It matches the Rfam family "Bacterial small subunit ribosomal RNA", at positions 777 to 1343 of the family's 1533-position model. The record is from RNAcentral.